RNAcentral lists this ribosomal RNA (253 nucleotides) under uncultured bacterium. RNAcentral's name for it is "partial 16S ribosomal RNA". It matches the Rfam family "Bacterial small subunit ribosomal RNA", at positions 524 to 776 of the family's 1533-position model. The record is from RNAcentral.
UACGUAGGGUGCGAGCGUUGUCCGGAAUUACUGGGCGUAAAGAGCUCGUAGGUGGUUUGUCGCGUUGUUCGUGAAAUGCCACAGCUUAACUGUGGGCGUGCGGGCGAUACGGGCAGACUGGAGUACUGCAGGGGAGACUGGAAUUCCUGGUGUAGCGGUGGACUGCGCAGAUAUCAGGAGGAACACCAAUAGCGAAGGCAGCUCGCUGGGACGUUACUGACACUGAGGCGCGAAAGCGUGGGGAGCGAACAGG